CCCUUAGAUGUUCUGGGCCGCACGCGCGCUACACUGAUGAAUUCAACGAGCACUAACCUGUGCAGAAAUGUUCGGGUAAUCUUGUGAGAUUUCAUCGUGAUGGGGAUUGAUUAUUGCAAUUAUUAAUCAUAAACGAGGAAUGCCUAGUAAGCGUGAGUCAUCAGCUCACGUUGAUUACGUCCCUGCCCUUUGUACACACCGCCCGUCGCUCCUACCGAUUGAAUGUGCUGGUGAAAAGUUCGGAUUGGGAAUAGGAGACGGCAACGUAUCCUGUUUCUGAGAAAAUCUUUAAACCCUCCCAUUUAGAGGAAGGAGAAGUCGUAACA
RNAcentral lists this ribosomal RNA (326 nucleotides) under uncultured eukaryote. Its description in RNAcentral is "partial 18S ribosomal RNA". It matches the Rfam family "Eukaryotic small subunit ribosomal RNA", at positions 1470 to 1796 of the family's 1831-position model. The record is from RNAcentral.